This 336-nucleotide unclassified non-coding RNA is filed under the name soil metagenome. Its description in RNAcentral is "partial contains 5.8S ribosomal RNA, internal transcribed spacer 2, and large subunit ribosomal RNA". The stretch from base 1 to 120 matches the Rfam family "5.8S ribosomal RNA", at positions 35 to 154 of the family's 154-position model. The record is from RNAcentral.
GAUGAAGAACGCAGCGAAAUGCGAUAAGUAAUGUGAAUUGCAGAAUUCAGUGAAUCAUCGAAUCUUUGAACGCACAUUGCGCCCGCCAGUAUUCUGGCGGGCAUGCCUGUUCGAGCGUCAUUUCAACCAUCAAGCCCCAGGCUUGUGUUGGGGACCUGCGGCUGCCGCAGGCCCUGAAAACCAGUGGCGGGCUCGCUGUCACACCGGGCGUAGUAGAUUUUAUCUCGCUCAGGGCGUGCUGCGGGUUCCGGCCGUUAAAAAGCCUUUUUUACCCAAGGUUGACCUCGGAUCAGGUAGGAAGACCCGCUGAACUUAAGCAGAUCAAUAAGCGGAGGA